UUAAAUGCUUUGAAGGAAUUGAAGUAGUGGUAUCCUCCCUGUUACAGAGAGCUGGUGGUGCUGAAAACCAGUACAAAGGAGAUCAUGAAUUACGUUUCUGGAGCUUCUUAUUUCUUUUCUGAAAUAAGACGGUUUAGCCGUUAUUCUGUGAAGUGGUAAGUUCUAUACUUACAAUCAGGGUGGUACCGCGAAUAAAUUCGUCCCUGCU
This 208-nucleotide non-coding RNA is filed under the name Bacillus sp. (in: firmicutes). RNAcentral's name for it is "Bacillus sp. T-box sequence". It matches the Rfam family "T-box leader". Rfam says of the family: Uncharged tRNA acts as the effector for transcription antitermination of genes in the T-box leader family. T-boxes are found upstream of many aminoacyl-tRNA synthetase genes and some amino acid biosynthetic genes usually in Gram-positive bacteria. Lineage: Bacteria; Bacillati; Bacillota; Bacilli; Caryophanales; Bacillaceae. The record is from RNAcentral.